ACCAUUAGCUUGUUGGUGGGGUAAAGGCCUACCAAGGCGUCGAUGGUUAGCUGGUCUGAGAGGAUGAUCAGCCACACUGGAACUGACACACGGUCCAGACUCCUACGGGAGGCAGCAGUGAGGAAUUUUGCGCAAUGGGGGAAACCCUGACGCAGCAACGCCGCGUGAGUGAUGAAGGCUUUCGGGUCGUAAAGCUCUGUCAAGUGGGAAGAACCUGCAGUAUGCUAAUAUCAUAUUGCACUGACGGUACCACUGAAGGAAGCACCGGCUAACUCCGUGCCAGCAGCCGCGGUAAUACGGGGGGUGCAAGCGUUAUUCAAUCAUUGGGCGUAAAGAGCACGUAGGCGGCCUGGUAAGUCAGAUGUGAAAGCCCUGGGCUUAACCCGGGAAGUGCAUUUGAUACUGUCAGGCUUGAGUAUGGGAGAGGGAAGUGGAAUUCCUGGUGUAGAGGUGAAAUUCGUAGAUAUCAGGAGGAACACCGGUGGCGAAGGCGACUUCCUGGACCAAUACUGACGCUGAGGUGCGAAGGCGUGGGUAGCAAACAGGAUUAGAUACCCUGGUAGUCCACGCAGUAAACGUUGUUCACUAGGUGUAGCGGGUAUUGACCCCUGCUGUGCCGCAGUUAACGCAUUAAGUGAACCGCCUGGGGAGUACGGCCGCAAGGUUAAAACUCAAAGGAAUUGACGGGUGCCCGCACAAGCGGUGGAGCAUGUGGUUUAAUUCGACGCAACGCGAAGAACCUUACCUGGAUUUGACAUCCCGGGAAUCCUAUCGAAAGACUGGAGUGCCCUUCGGGGAGCCCGGAGACAGGUGCUGCAUGGCUGUCGUCAGCUCGUGUCGUGAGAUGUUGGGUUAAGUCCCGCAACGAGCGCAACCCUUGUCUUUAGUUACCAUCAUUCAGUUGGGGACUCUAAAGAUACUGCCCCGGUCAACGGGGAGGAAGGUGGGGAUGACGUCAAGUCCUCAUGGCCUUUAUGUCCAGGGCUACACACGUGCUACAAUGGGCUGUACAAAGGGUUGCGAACCCGCGAGGGUAAGCCAAUCCCAAAAAGCAGUCCCAAGUUCGGAUUGGAGUCUGCAACUCGACUCCAUGAAGCUGGAAUCGCUAGUAAUCGCGGAUCAGCAUGCCGCGGUGAAUACGUUCCCGGUCCUUGUACACACCGCCCGUCACACCAUGAGAGUUGGUUGUACCAGAAGUCGUCGGGCUAACCUUUUUAAGGAUGCAGGCGCCUAAGGUAUGGCUGAUAAUUAGGGUGAAGUCGUAACAAGGUA
Molecule: ribosomal RNA, 1272 nt
Filed under: metagenome
Description: bacterial SSU rRNA
Rfam family: Bacterial small subunit ribosomal RNA
Source: RNAcentral